UACGAAGGGUGCUAGCGUUGUUCGGAAUCACUGGGCGUAAAGCGCGCGUAGGCGGCUAAUCAAGUCAGGGGUGAAAUCCCACAGCUCAACUGUGGAACUGCCUUUGAAACUGGUUAGCUAGAGUGUCGGAGGGGAUAGCGGAAUUGCUAAUGUAGAGGUGAAAUUCGUAGAUAUUAGCAGGAACACCGGUGGCGAAGGCGGCUAUCUGGACGACAACUGACGCUGAGGCGCGAAAGCGUGGGGACCAAACAGG
Molecule: ribosomal RNA, 253 nt
Filed under: uncultured bacterium
Lineage: Bacteria
Description: partial 16S ribosomal RNA
Rfam family: Bacterial small subunit ribosomal RNA
Source: RNAcentral